This 253-nucleotide ribosomal RNA is filed under the name uncultured bacterium. RNAcentral describes it as "partial 16S ribosomal RNA". It matches the Rfam family "Bacterial small subunit ribosomal RNA", at positions 524 to 776 of the family's 1533-position model. The record is from RNAcentral.
UACGGAGGGUGCAAACGUUGCUCGGAAUCAUUGGGCGUAAAGCGCACGUAGGCGGUCCAGUAAGUCGGGUGUGAAAGCCCUCGGCUUAACCGAGGAAGUGCAUUCGAAACUGCUGGACUUGAAUACUGGAGAGGAUCGCGGAAUUCCCGGUGUAGAGGUGAAAUUCGUAGAUAUCGGGAGGAACACCAGUGGCGAAGGCGGCGAUCUGGACGGUAACUGACGCUGAGACGCGAAAGCGUGGGGAGCAAACAGG